UACCGCAUACGUCCUACGGGAGAAAGGGGGCUUCGGCUCCCGCUAUUGGAUGAGCCUAUGUCGGAUUAGCUAGUUGGUGAGGUAAAGGCUCACCAAGGCAACGAUCCGUAGCUGGUCUGAGAGGAUGAUCAGCCAAAUCGGGACUGAGACACGGCCCGAACUCCUACGGGAGGCAGCAGUGGGGAAUAUUGGACAAUGGGGGCAACCCUGAUCCAGCCAUGCCGCGUAUGUGAAGAAGGCCUUCGGGUUGUAAAGCACUUUCAGCGAGGAAGAACGCCUAGUGGUUAAUACCCAUUAGGAAAGACAUCACUCGCAGAAGAAGCACCGGCUAACUCCGUGCCAGCAGCCGCGGUAAUACGGAGGGUGCAAGCGUUAAUCGGAAUUACUGGGCGUAAAGCGCGCGUAGGUGGCUUGAUAAGCCGGUUGUGAAAGCCCCGGGCUCAACCUGGGAACGGCAUCCGGAACUGUCAAGCUAGAGUGCAGGAGAGGAAGGUAGAAUUCCCGGUGUAGCGGUGAAAUGCGUAGAGAUCGGGAGGAAUACCAGUGGCGAAGGCGGCCUUCUGGACUGACACUGACACUGAGGUGCGAAAGCGUGGGUAGCAAACAGGAUUAGAUACCCUGGUAGUCCACGCCGUAAACGAUGUCGACCAGCCGUUGGGUGCCUAGCGCACUUUGUGGCGAAGUUAACGCGAUAAGUCGACCGCCUGGGGAGUACGGCCGCAAGGUUAAAACUCAAAUGAAUUGACGGGGGCCCGCACAAGCGGUGGAGCAUGUGGUUUAAUUCGAUGCAACGCGAAGAACCUUACCUACUCUUGACAUCCUGCGAACUUGUGAGAGAUCACUUGGUGCCUUCGGGAACGCAGAGACAGGUGCUGCAUGGCUGUCGUCAGCUCGUGUUGUGAAAUGUUGGGUUAAGUCCCGUAACGAGCGCAACCCUUGUCCUUAUUUGCCAGCACGUAAUGGUGGGAACUCUAAGGAGACUGCCGGUGACAAACCGGAGGAAGGUGGGGACGACGUCAAGUCAUCAUGGCCCUUACGAGUAGGGCUACACACGUGCUACAAUGGCCGGUACAAAGGGUUGCCAACUCGCGAGAGUGAGCUAAUCCCGAAAAGCCGGUCUCAGUCCGGAUCGGAGUCUGCAACUCGACUCCGUGAAGUCGGAAUCGCUAGUAAUCGUGAAUCAGAAUGUCACGGUGAAUACGUUCCCGGGCCUUGUA
This 1217-nucleotide ribosomal RNA is filed under the name Halomonas sp. Its description in RNAcentral is "bacterial SSU rRNA". It matches the Rfam family "Bacterial small subunit ribosomal RNA", at positions 167 to 1385 of the family's 1533-position model. Lineage: Bacteria; Pseudomonadati; Pseudomonadota; Gammaproteobacteria; Oceanospirillales; Halomonadaceae. The record is from RNAcentral.